UUAACUUCACAAGAGUGCUUAUUUUAUUGAAUAUUCAUUCUGUUCUCUUUUCAGUAGGAAGAAAAAUAGUUUCUGUAAUUGAAAUACAAAAAUGGGCCAUUGCUUUCACUCCUUAGAGGGACAAAAAUCAGACAGAGUCAACAGCAGGUCAAACGGGCAAGGGAAGGAAGAAAAAUAACACAUAGCUUUAGCAUAACCACCUAAAUAAAUGUGUUGCCUGGCUUCAAAAUAAAGAAAUCUAGCUUAAAGCAGAUGAUCUCUCAAACAGAUGGGACCUCCACAACCAAGAGCUAGCUACAGGUCUAGCUCUUCCACUAUGAAACCCAGGCAGGCU
RNAcentral lists this long non-coding RNA (334 nucleotides) under Homo sapiens (human). RNAcentral's name for it is "non-protein coding lnc-ZNF366-7:1". The record is from RNAcentral. Lineage: Eukaryota; Metazoa; Chordata; Mammalia; Primates; Hominidae.